UAGGGAAUCUUCCUCAAUGGACGAAAGUCUGACGGAGCAACGCCGCGUGAGUGAAGAAGGAUUUCGGUUCGUAAAACUCUGUUGUUAGGGAAGAAAAAAUGUAUAGUAACUAUAUACAAAAGAGACGGUACCUAACCAGAAAGCCACGGCUAACUACGUGCCAGCAGCCGCGGUAAUACGUAGGUGGCAAGCGUUGUCCGGAAUUAUUGGGCGUAAAGCGCGCGCAGGUGGUUUAGAAAGUCUGAUGUGAAAGCCCACGGCUCAACCGUGGAGGGUCAUUGGAAACUAAUAAACUUGAGUGCAGGAGAGAACAGUGGAAUUCCUUGUGUAGCGGUGAAAUGCGUAGAGAUUAGGAGGACCACCGGUGGCGAAAGCGGCUUUUUGGCCUGCAACUGACGCUGAGGCGCGAAAGCGUGGGGAGCAAACAGG
Molecule: ribosomal RNA, 429 nt
Filed under: Verrucomicrobiota bacterium
Lineage: Bacteria; Pseudomonadati; Verrucomicrobiota
Description: Verrucomicrobia bacterium partial 16S ribosomal RNA
Rfam family: Bacterial small subunit ribosomal RNA
Source: RNAcentral